UCCAGCAGCCGCGGUAAUACGGAGGGGGCUAGCGUUAUUCGGAAUUAUUGGGCGUAAAGGGCGCGUAGGCGGCCCGGUAAGUCAAAGGUGAAAUCCCUCGGCUCAACUGAGGAACUGCCUUUGAAACUGUCGGGCUCGAGGCCGGGAGGGGGUAGCGGAAUUCCCAGUGUAGCGGUGAAAUGCGUAGAUAUUGGGAGGAACACCGGUGGCGAAGGCGGCUACCUGGACCGGUUCUGAAGGUGAUGCGCGAAAGCGUGGGUAGCAAACAGGAUUAAUAAAGGC
This 282-nucleotide unclassified non-coding RNA is filed under the name uncultured Acidobacteriota bacterium. RNAcentral's name for it is "uncultured Acidobacteria bacterium partial contains 16S ribosomal RNA, 16S-23S ribosomal RNA intergenic spacer, and 23S ribosomal RNA". It matches the Rfam family "Bacterial small subunit ribosomal RNA", at positions 507 to 786 of the family's 1533-position model. The record is from RNAcentral. Lineage: Bacteria; Pseudomonadati; Acidobacteriota.